This 309-nucleotide long non-coding RNA is filed under the name Mus musculus (house mouse). RNAcentral's name for it is "long non-coding RNA chr13:100770463-100770772". The record is from RNAcentral. Lineage: Eukaryota; Metazoa; Chordata; Mammalia; Rodentia; Muridae.
AUGUCUGGAAGGCUGUGGUGCAAGGCCAUUUUUGCUGGCUACAAGCGAGGUCUCCGGAACCAAAGAGAGCACACGGCUCUUCUUAAAAUUGAAGGCGUUUAUGCCCGAGAUGAAACGAGAGUUCUACUUAGGCAAAAGAUGUGCUUAUGUGUAUAAAGCAAAAAACAAUACGGUGACUCCUGAAGGUAAACCAAAGAAAACCAGAGUGAUCUGGGGAAAGGUAACUCGCUUCGUGCCAAAUUCCGAAGCAACCUUCCUGCAAAGGCCAUUGGACACAGAAUCCAUGUGAUGCUGUACCCAUCCCGGAUG